Long non-coding RNA from Oncorhynchus tshawytscha (Chinook salmon), 637 nucleotides. The record is from Ensembl. NCBI's taxonomy places the organism in Eukaryota, Metazoa, Chordata, Actinopteri, Salmoniformes, Salmonidae.
UGUGUGUGUGUGUGAGAAAGAGAGAGAUAGCGAGGGAGAGAGAGAGAGAGCUGCAUCUUACACAGUAUGCUCCAUGGGAAGGGACUGCUAGGACCUUUUCAGAGAGUCCCGGACCAGGCAAUAACAAGUUGUAGGUAAAAUGUCAACCAUAAGGUUUCUGCUUUCUGAGGUACCGUCUCCUGGGGCUUUCUGAGGUACCGUCUCCUAGGUUUUCUGAGGUACCGUCUCCUGGGGCUUUCUGAGGUACCGUCUCCUAGGGCUUUCUGAGGUACCGUCUCCUGGCGCUUUCUGUCCGUCUCCUGCUGCUGAGCCCUGGGGCUUUCUGAGGUACCGUCUCCUGGGGCUUUCUGAGGUACCGUCUCCUGCCGCUGUGUCCUGGGGGCUUUCUGAGGUACCGUCUCCUGCAUCUGUGCCCUGGGGCUUUCUGAGGUACCGUCUCCUGGGGCUUUCUGAGGUACCGUCUCCUGCAUCUGUGCCCUGGGGCUUUCUGAGGUACCGUCUCCUGCCGCUGAGCCCCGGAGACAAGAAGUAGAAGACUAACAAAGUCCUAUUCUAUUGUAUCCUAUCAGCUGAUGUCCAGGAUGUGGAUUUGUUCAAUGAGUAAUAGCAUACAGUACUUGUGUCAGACACACCCUAG